GUCUCAGUGAAGAGCUCUAGACCAUAGGAAGUGUCGUAUGACACUGUACAACAGCUCUUCUCUGCAGCUGCAAGUGUCCAUCCUUACAUGAUAGCCUCUGUGGUUUGGUCUUGGAUGGAAAUACCCAUUUGCACAUGCUUGUUCAGCCGUGUGGUUGAUUUUAAACGGGUCUCUGAGUGGU
This is a non-coding RNA of Triticum aestivum (bread wheat), 181 nucleotides long. Lineage: Eukaryota; Viridiplantae; Streptophyta; Magnoliopsida; Poales; Poaceae. The record is from Rfam.